This 239-nucleotide long non-coding RNA is filed under the name Setaria italica (foxtail millet). RNAcentral describes it as "long non-coding RNA (SITA_LNC006809)". Lineage: Eukaryota; Viridiplantae; Streptophyta; Magnoliopsida; Poales; Poaceae. The record is from RNAcentral.
AAAAAGACCAUCAAGUUUUAUGUUGAGGCUAUCCAAGGUUUUCUCAUUGGCAGGUAACUUCUUAUUAAUACAUUCAUUCAUCUUAGCUUGCCCAUAAAUGCGAUCACUAAAGGAGGAUUGAUUGGGAUUGAAAGAGUUACCGUUGUUACCUCCUUGGUAAGGGUGUUGCUGAUUCCACUCUUCGCCUCCUUGUGGACAAUAUCCGUUGUUGUUGCCAUUCAUGUAUAGCACGUCCUCCG